UNUGACUUGAGUGCAGAAGGGGAGAGUGGAAUUCCAUGUGUAGCGGUGAAAUGCGUAGAUAUAUGGAGGAACACCAGUGGCGAAAGCGGCUCUCUGGUCUGUCACUGACGCUGAGGCUCGAAAGCGUGGGUAGCGAACAGGAUUAGAUACCCUGGUAGUNCACGCCGUAAACGAUGAGUGCUAGGUGUUAGGCCCUUUCCGGGGCUUAGUGCCGGAGCUAACGCAAUAAGCACUCCGCCUGGGGAGUACGACCGCAAGGUUGAAACUCAAAGGAAUUGACGGGGGCCCGCACAAGCGGUGGAGCAUGUGGUUUAAUUCGAAGCAACGCGAAGAACCUUACCAGGUCUUGACAUCCCGAUGCUAUUCUUAGAGAUAGGAAGUUACUUCGGUACAUCGGAGACAGGUGGUGCAUGGUUGUCGUCAGCUCGUGUCGUGAGAUGUUGGGUUAAGUCCCGCAACGAGCGCAACCCUUAUUGUUAGUUGCCAUCAUUAAGUUGGGCACUCUAGCGAGACUGCCGGUAAUAAACCGGAGGAAGGUGGGGAUGACGUCAAAUCAUCAUGCCCCUUAUGACCUGGGCUACACACGUGCUACAAUGGUCGGUACAACGAGUUGCGAGCCGGUGACGGCAAGCUAAUCUCUGAAAGCCGAUCUCCGUUCGGAUUGGAGGCUGCAACUCGCCUCCAUGAAGUCGGAAUCGCUAGUAAUCGCGGAUCAGCACGCCGCGGUGAAUACGUUCCCGGGCCUUGUACACACCGCCCGUCACACCACGAGAGUUUGUAACACCCGAAGUCGGUGAGGUAACCUUUUAGGGGCCAGCCGCCUAAGGUGGGA
RNAcentral lists this ribosomal RNA (832 nucleotides) under uncultured bacterium. RNAcentral's name for it is "bacterial SSU rRNA". It matches the Rfam family "Bacterial small subunit ribosomal RNA", at positions 636 to 1467 of the family's 1533-position model. The record is from RNAcentral.